UCUUCAAGGCCCUCCCUCCAAUCCUACCUCCAUCUUAAAGACCUAUCCUUGACCAUGCUAGGUGAACAUGACUUCUCCUUGUGCAUGACCAUUGUUCUUGUUAUCUUGACAGAGGCAGUAUAGUGGAGCCCCAGCUGAAUUGUGAGUCUAUACUGUCCUACCUUCAAAUCCUGGAACAGAUUUCUCUACCACUAGCUGAAAAGAAUGACCCUAUAAAUGCUGUGCUCCUGGGGCUGCAGAGAAUCAUUGUGUUGCAUGGAUAUCCCAGCAGCAGAAGAAGCUCUGAUUGACCAGGGAGGAAAAUGCCUCUGUCUUGGGGAAGGCCUGGCUCGCAUGGAGCGGUUUCUGUUCCUGGCCACCAUUCUACAGAGCUUCACCUUGAAACCCUUGGUUGAUCCAAAAGAACUUGACAUCACCCCACUCAUGACUGGAGCUCCAGUUUAUAAAUUAUCUCUUCUUCCUAGAUAAAUGAUGUCCUGUAGCCACAGCUUAAUUGCUUUGUUCCCACAAAUUGACAGCACAGUCAAUCUCUAUUUUAAAUGACAAUCUUGGUGUUUGCUGUUCGGAAGAAAAUCUUACCUUCUUCAAGUUAAGAACAGUGUUUGGACAGCUCCUGCAAGAGAGACCUACAAGACCAAGGGACAAUGGAGUCACCAAAGCCUAAUACUUGGCCACUCUGCUUUGGUAGCAGCAAAGAACCACAGCAAAGGGAAAUCAUAUGCUCAAUUUAAGAGGUCAUUCCCAAUCUUAAGAAGUUCUGGAAACUUUGCAAAUUGUCCUUCAUGACCUGGUAAUUGUUUCUAAAUUUUGUUAUGGUGCUGUUUACAGAGAAAUAAAGGAAUCACAACUUAGAGUUGUUUUUA
This is a long non-coding RNA of Trichosurus vulpecula (common brushtail), 863 nucleotides long. RefSeq lists it as uncharacterized. The record is from RefSeq and is a predicted model, not a curated record. Lineage: Eukaryota; Metazoa; Chordata; Mammalia; Diprotodontia; Phalangeridae. The transcript has 3 exons.